UACGGAGGGUGCGAGCGUUGUCCGGAAUCAUUGGGCGUAAAGGGCGCGUAGGUGGCGGGACAAGCGUGCGGUGAAAGCUCGGGGCUCAACCCCGCGUCGGCCGUGCGAACUGUUUUGCUUGAGCACUGUAGAGGCAGGCGGAAUUCCGGGUGUAGCGGUGGAAUGCGUAGAGAUCCGGAAGAACACCGGUGGCGAAGGCGGCCUGCUGGGCAGUAGCUGACACUGAGGCGCGACAGCGUGGGGGAGCAAACAGG
RNAcentral lists this ribosomal RNA (254 nucleotides) under uncultured bacterium. Its description in RNAcentral is "partial 16S ribosomal RNA". It matches the Rfam family "Bacterial small subunit ribosomal RNA", at positions 524 to 776 of the family's 1533-position model. The record is from RNAcentral.